This 29-nucleotide non-coding RNA is filed under the name Homo sapiens (human). Lineage: Eukaryota; Metazoa; Chordata; Mammalia; Primates; Hominidae. The record is from RNAcentral.
CUGGUUGACAAUUGGUUGAGUUUGUCUGA